This 215-nucleotide long non-coding RNA is filed under the name Nicotiana benthamiana. Its description in RNAcentral is "long non-coding RNA (NBEN_LNC035115)". The record is from RNAcentral. Lineage: Eukaryota; Viridiplantae; Streptophyta; Magnoliopsida; Solanales; Solanaceae.
AUAUUUGGCUUUAGCUGAUUUUCCUACAUGUUUCAUGUUAAACGUGCUAAAUGCUUUACCGCUUUGUUAUUAUCCGGAAUGUAUAUAAACUGUGACGAAACCCUUCUCAUCUCACCUACGGGGAUGUGCUUACUGGUUGAGACUCCCUAUUUUGUUUGUAUCGUACCUUGAAUUUCAAUAGAGGCUCGAACGAGAUACUAAGCCAGACGAUCUUG